RNAcentral lists this long non-coding RNA (1153 nucleotides) under Salmo salar (Atlantic salmon). RNAcentral describes it as "lncRNA (ENSSSAG00000083096.1)". Lineage: Eukaryota; Metazoa; Chordata; Actinopteri; Salmoniformes; Salmonidae. The record is from RNAcentral.
UCUGUUUAGUUUUGUACGUAGCAGAACUGUAGGCUGUCGUUCGUGGUUUGGUUGAAGUGUUUCUAUUAAUUGAAUAUGAACACUCACCACGCUGCGCUUUGGUCCCCUACUUCCACAGACGACGGCCGUUACAGGCUUCGCUCAGGAUCUGAUGCACUAAAAUAAGGAUCUCCCUCACUACACCCUCAGGAACUUCUCCUUUUUCUCUUGGAUACCAAACAGCCAUCAGGGCAUGGAUUCUACAAGGUACUGAAAGCGUUCCACAGGGUUGCUGGCCCAUGUUACCUCCAAAGCCUCCCACAGUUGUGUCAAGUUGGCUGGUACUGGAUCUCUACCCCGAAUGGCUCGGUCCAUCAACAUCCCACAGAUACUCAAUUGGAUUGAGAUCUGGUGACUGGGCAGGCCACAGCAAAGCCCACUUGCGCAGGAAGACAACACCCCACCUUGUGUCCGAAGAGGACACUAGUCUGCAAUAUGCUACAGCAACAUCUACCAGUGACCGAGCAAGUCUGCUUUAUACUACUGUGACAUUUACCGGUAACCAAGCUGGACCUGGGUGCACCAAGAUCAAGUUUGCAAUGACUGGAGACUACGCCCUCUUAGCAGAAUAAUAGAAUAAGAAAGACUGUCUUGAAGAAAAGUUUUUAGUUUUUCUCAUAGUUAACUUACGUGCCUUUCCUUCAACCUGGUGAUGCACUUACAAAAAAUAAUAAUAAUAUCACCCUGCUUGAUUUACAUAUCUUCUACUCUGUGGACACCAUGUCUUCCUGUAGUCUGUAAACAUCAGUUCCUCUCAGAUUAAUGGUAUUAUCUUACUGGGCUAUAAAUAGAUGUGCAGAGGUUUUAGGAUAAGAUUAAUUUCAACAUGUAUACUUGAUAAAUGUGUAAAUGAACAGCUUUCUUGAUUUAUAAGUCAAUAUGUCAUUUAAAAGUUGUGUGUGUAAAAUGAGAAAACCACAGAGAUAAAAAUAGUUUUUUUAUAUUGAUUCCGUUUCUCUGUAUUGCAGAACAUUCUUAAUAAACCACUUCACUAACUGUUAGAGGAAAGCAAUACAAAAGGACUCUUGAUUUGCAAGCUAACAUGGUGGUUCUGUUUGGAACUCAUUCUUCACCCAUGCAUUUUCACAUUUAUGUGCAAAGCUUUAACUAGAGG